CCUACGGGCGGCUGCAGUGGGGAAUAUUGGACAAUGGGGGGAACCCUGAUCCAGCCAUGCCGCGUGUGUGAAGAAGGCCCUCGGGUUGUAAAGCACUUUCAGUGAGGAAGAACGCCUGGUGGUUAAUACCCAUCAGGAAAGACAUCACUCACAGAAGAAGCACCGGCUAACUCCGUGCCAGCAGCCGCGGUAAUACGGAGGGUGCGAGCGUUAAUCGGAAUUACUGGGCGUAAAGCGCGCGUAGGUGGCUUGAUAAGCCGGUUGUGAAAGCCCCGGGCUCAACCUGGGAACGGCAUCCGGAACUGUCAAGCUAGAGUGCAGGAGAGGAAGGUAGAAUUCCCGGUGUAGCGGUGAAAUGCGUAGAGAUCGGGAGGAAUACCAGUGGCGAAGGCGGCCUUCUGGACUGACACUGACACUGAGGUGCGAAAGCGUAGGUAGCAAACAGGAUUAGAUACCCGAGUAGUC
Molecule: ribosomal RNA, 465 nt
Filed under: Vreelandella stevensii
Lineage: Bacteria; Pseudomonadati; Pseudomonadota; Gammaproteobacteria; Oceanospirillales; Halomonadaceae
Description: partial 16S ribosomal RNA
Rfam family: Bacterial small subunit ribosomal RNA
Source: RNAcentral